RNAcentral lists this transfer RNA (82 nucleotides) under Dreissena polymorpha. It matches the Rfam family "tRNA". Rfam says of the family: Transfer RNA (tRNA) molecules are approximately 80 nucleotides in length. Their secondary structure includes four short double-helical elements and three loops (D, anti-codon, and T loops). Lineage: Eukaryota; Metazoa; Mollusca; Bivalvia; Myida; Dreissenidae. The record is from Rfam by way of RNAcentral.
GGUGCCGUAGCCUUGUGGUUAAGGCGAUGGACUAGAAAUCUUUUGGGAUAUUUCCGCGCAGGUUCGAAUCCUGCCGACGACG